Long non-coding RNA from Cervus elaphus (red deer), 1625 nucleotides. RefSeq lists it as uncharacterized. The record is from RefSeq and is a predicted model, not a curated record. The transcript is spliced from 3 exons. NCBI's taxonomy places the organism in Eukaryota, Metazoa, Chordata, Mammalia, Artiodactyla, Cervidae.
UUUUGUUUUAUGGCCAAGAAGGUCUGACAUUUUGAUGAAGGAGAUAGAAACUGCAUGGACAUGUGAAGGUGAAAGGCUAAGCUGGCUUUUUAUUAAUUGAAAUUUUACUUGUUUUAUAGUGAGAACUCCUGACCCACCAGAUGAAGAGUGUUUUAAAUGUGAAUGUAGCUGUUUUAGUCGUCCAGGCAGACGCACUCCCGCUGUCCGUGACGCUGUUGUGGGUGCCCCGCGUGAGGCUGCUGCACUCUCGCGAUACCUGGCUGCUGAUUCCCCCACCCCACCCCCACCAGCAGAGCCGCGGCCGUUACUACCCGCUGGCCGGGGUGCUGUGAGGGUCCCAACGCUGCUGGCUCGCUCGCCCUGAGCGGAGGACUAGGGGGCAUGUUCCGGGCAGCUGCCUCAACCACUUGUCUCAUGGAUCAUCCCCGUUUCUCCCCUGCUUGGCAUUGGCUGCCAGCUGACGCUUUUCCUUGGUGGAAUGGAAACAUGCCUUUGGACGAGCUGAGGAGACCGAGACCCAACUUGUAUGCAGGUGUGCGUGCCUGGCUGACAUCCUCCCGGGGGCACUUGCUGGCCCGAGGCCCCGCGACUCCCAGUGCUGUGCUGCUCCAGGAGCUGUGUUCAGCUCAUCACCCUCACACAUCUCUCUUCUGAGCUUUCUGGAGUCUUGUCCUCACAUGCACAGCCUGGUAUUCAGUUUAUGACUGCUGGAGAUGCCUGGAACUUUAUGGAGGUCCUUCUCUGCAUAGCUUCCUCUUCUCCAGUACUGUGUGUCCUGCAAACCCAAGUCCCCUCAGCAGCCCUGAUGUCUAAUCUCUCUUCUUAGGUCAGCAAGACCCCCAAGGUCUGCUUGGGCUGCACCCCACUUGCAUUGCAGUGUGGACAGUGACUCCAGGCAGAAAGCCAGGGCUAUUAUGGGGCCUGCUUUGGAAUUCUUCUUCUCCCAGGGACUAUAACCCAGUGCUGCCUGUUGUCCAAUAUCUGAAUAUAUUUGUGUAAUAUUUUCUUCCAGUUUUGCAAUUGUUUAUGUCAGUAUGUCAGUGCUAAUUCAAUAUGAGUUACUCUAUCAUGACCAGCAGUGAACACUGAGUAAUUCGAUGGUGUGUUCAGUCACUCAAUCGUGUCCGAAUUUUUGCGACCCCAUGAACUACAGCACGCCAGGCCUCCCUGUCCAUCACCAACUCCAGGAGCUUUCUCAAGCUCAUGUCCAUCGAGUCGGUGAUACCAUCCAACAGUCUCAUCCUCUGUCGUCCCCUUCUCCUUCUGGAACUUCAUGGAGCUCCUCCUCUGCAUAGCUCCCUCUUCUCCAAUACCCUGUCCUGCAAACCCAAGUCUUUGUGCGUAGAGGAAAACAAUAGAAUCGGAAAGACUAGAGAUGGGACGUUAGAAGGUAAUAAAUGUUAUGAAAGAAAUAAUAGAAGCACCCCUGGAAGUCCAGUUAAGAUUCCAUGCUUCCAGUACAGAGGUAGUGGAUUUAAUUCCCAGUCAGGGAACUGAGAUCACACAUGCCUUUUGGUUUGAUCAAAAGAGGGGAAAAAUAGAAUAAAAUGAGCAUUAAAUAAAUAAAUAAAUAGAACACAGUAAGGAGGAUGGAUAACAUUGGGUGAGGGAGGCACAGAGUUGAG